UAAUGUAAAUAAUAAAUACACAAAAAGUGAUGCCUAUUUUGAUUUAAACGAUAAAAAACUGUCUUCUUUUGUCUGUAAAAGCGUUGGUGCAGUUAUAACUGCUUCGCAUAACCCCCAUUAUGAGAAUGGAAUAAAAUUGAUUGAUUGUGAUGGUAGGCUACUGAAGAAAACAUAUGAAGAUUUUUUAAAUAAACUUGUUAAUAAUCAUUUAUAUUAUACAAAAGAAAAUAGCAAUUGUAAAAUAGACGACAUCGUUUUUAAUACUAUAAGUUUUAUUGGUAAGCUUUUUAAAGAAGAGAUAAAUAUAAAUAUAUUUGAUGAUAAUAUAUAUAAUAAGUUAAAAGAGCUAGAUGAUAUAAUAUAUAAUAAUAAUUUUUAUAGUAUAUUAAAAAGUAAUAUAUGUAUUGGUUUUGAUACAAGAGAUAGUUGUAUAUAUUUGAAUAAUGUUAUUAUCGAUGCAUUACAUUGUGUAAAUAUAUACAAAUGUAUAAAUAACUUGUGUUAUAUUACUACACCUUGUAUGCAUUUUAUAAUUUUUUUUCUAAAUAAUGCUUUUCAUGAUAAAACAAUUGAUCAUAGUUUUAUAGAAAAGAAGAAAGAAUAUAUACAUAACAACAUACAAAAAAAAAAAAAUGAUUUAAAUUAUUUAAAAAAAUUUGUCUUUUUAAAAAAUAAAAAUAUAAUUAAGGUUUUGUACUAUUUAGACAUAGACAAGGAUUAUAAUUUGGAUGAUCUAAAUUAUGUGAGUGGAGAUAAUAUUGUGGGAGAUAAUUUUUAUGAUAGUACCUGCAAUAUGGGAAGUAGUACCGGGAGUAGUAUCGGAAGUAGCAGUAGAAGCAGCAGUAGAAGCAGCAGUAGUACUAGCAGCAAUAGUAGCAGUAAUAAUAACGGAAGUAAUAUUGUUAUUGAAAGAAACGAAAAACGUACAAAAAAAAAUAUAAACAUAGAAAAAAAUAUAAACACAGAAAAAAAUAUAAACACAGAAAAAAAUGCAAACACAGA
Molecule: long non-coding RNA, 1002 nt
Organism: Piliocolobus tephrosceles (Ugandan red Colobus)
Lineage: Eukaryota; Metazoa; Chordata; Mammalia; Primates; Cercopithecidae
Source: Ensembl